This 315-nucleotide ribosomal RNA is filed under the name Triticum aestivum (bread wheat). Its description in RNAcentral is "partial small subunit ribosomal RNA". Lineage: Eukaryota; Viridiplantae; Streptophyta; Magnoliopsida; Poales; Poaceae. The record is from RNAcentral.
AUCAGCGUGCGUUCAGGGGUUCCGAUGGUGACGUUCGCCAAGGAGUAGGUGGAGGUGGCGGACGACGAGAAGGUGGUGUCGUACAGCGUGGUGGACGGCGAGCUGGUGAGCUUCUACAAGAACUUCAGGGUGACGGUGCAGGUGACCGACAAGGGCGCCGAUGGCGCCGGCACGGUGGUGAACUGGACCAUGGAGUUCGACAAGGCCAGCAACGAGGUGCCGCCGGACGUCACCAAGGAGACCGCAGCAAAGACCUUCCACAACCUCGACGACUACCUCCUCAAGAACUACUAUUCCCUUCGUCUUAUAAUAUAA